UGUGUGUGUGUGUGUGUGUAUGUGUGUAUUGCAUAAAGACGGUAGUUUUACACGCAAUAAACCUCUUCCAAAUUGGUGCAGCGGCUGUCCCCGCCCUGAAAACCGAGUUUGGCGUCGAGUCACCCUGGAAGCCACCCUGGGAUAUAUGGAGGCGCCGGAGGACCAGUGGAAGGUGUCAUCCAGAUGACAGCCUCACAAUUCCCAGCCUUUAUGCUCUCCAUCAGAAACCCUUCAGGGGCAAGCCACUUAUGUUUGCCUUCAGACAAGACAACAUUGAAGCAGGAUUCCAGCACAGCCAUCUCCUG
This is a long non-coding RNA of Dermacentor silvarum, 305 nucleotides long. RefSeq lists it as uncharacterized. The transcript is spliced from 3 exons. Lineage: Eukaryota; Metazoa; Arthropoda; Arachnida; Ixodida; Ixodidae. The record is from RefSeq and is a predicted model, not a curated record.